GGAGGGCAAGUCUGGUGCCAGCAGCCGCGGUAAUUCCAGCUCCAAUAGCGUAUAUUAAAGUUGUUGCAGUUAAAAAGCUCGUAGUUGAAUUUCGGGGUUCUACCGUUGGUCGGGCUUUGUCUGUACUGGUGUGUAGAAUUUCUACCUUCUGGGGAACCAUCAUGCUAUUAAUUUAGCGUGGUGGGAAACCAGGACCUUUACCUUGAAAAAAUUAGUGUGUUCAAAGCAGGCUUAUGUCUGAAUACAUUAGCGUGGAAUAAUAGAAUAGGACGGUGGUCCUGUUUUGUUGGUUUCUGAAUCACCGUAAUGAUUAAUAGGGAUAGUUGGGGGCAUUAGUAUUCAAUUGUCAGAGGUGAAAUUCUUGGAUUUAUUGAAGACUAACUUCUGCGAAAGCAUUUGCCAAGGAUGUUUUCAUUAAUCAAGAACGAAAGUUAGGGGAUCGAAGACGAUCAGAUACCGUCGUAGUCUUAACCAUAAACUAUGCCGACUAGGGAUCGGACGAUGUUAAUUUUUCUUGACUCGUUCGGCGCCUUACGGGAAAC
RNAcentral lists this ribosomal RNA (542 nucleotides) under uncultured Glomeromycotina. Its description in RNAcentral is "SSU rRNA". It matches the Rfam family "Eukaryotic small subunit ribosomal RNA", at positions 550 to 1098 of the family's 1831-position model. The record is from RNAcentral. Lineage: Eukaryota; Fungi; Glomeromycota.